RNAcentral lists this ribosomal RNA (586 nucleotides) under uncultured Microvirgula sp. RNAcentral describes it as "bacterial SSU rRNA". It matches the Rfam family "Bacterial small subunit ribosomal RNA", at positions 74 to 655 of the family's 1533-position model. Lineage: Bacteria; Pseudomonadati; Pseudomonadota; Betaproteobacteria; Neisseriales; Aquaspirillaceae. The record is from RNAcentral.
GGGAGCUUGCUCCCGCUGACGAGUGGCGAACGGGUGAGUAAUGCAUCGGAACGUGCCGAAUAGUGGGGGAUAACGCACCGAAAGGUGUGCUAAUACCGCAUACGCCCUGAGGGGGAAAGUGGGGGACCGCAAGGCCUCACGCUAAUCGAGCGGCCGAUGUCGGAUUAGCUAGUUGGUGGGGUAAAGGCUCACCAAGGCGACGAUCCGUAGCGGGUCUGAGAGGAUGAUCCGCCACACUGGGACUGAGACACGGCCCAGACUCCUACGGGAGGCAGCAGUGGGGAAUUUUGGACAAUGGGGGAAACCCUGAUCCAGCCAUGCCGCGUGUCUGAAGAAGGCCUUCGGGUUGUAAAGGACUUUUGUCCGGGAGGAAACCCUGAUCGUUAAUAGCGGUCGGGACUGACAGUACCGGAAGAAUAAGCACCGGCUAACUACGUGCCAGCAGCCGCGGUAAUACGUAGGGUGCAAGCGUUAAUCGGAAUUACUGGGCGUAAAGCGUGCGCAGGCGGUGAGAUAAGUCAGCUGUGAAAGCCCCGGGCUCAACCUGGGAACUGCGGCCGAAACUGUCUCGCUAGAGUACGUCAGA